AUACGGAGGAUCCGAGCGUUAUCCGGAUUUAUUGGGUUUAAAGGGAGCGUAGGCGGACGCUUAAGUCAGUUGUGAAAGUUUGCGGCUCAACCGUAAAAUUGCAGUUGAUACUGGCUGUCUUGAGUACAGUAGAGGAGGGCGGACUUCGGGGUGUAGUGGUGAAAUGCUUAGAUAUCACGAAGAACUCCGAUUGCGAAGGCAGCUCACUGGACUGCAACUGACACUGAUGCUCGAAAGUGUGGGUAUCAAACAGGAUUAGAUACCCUGGUAGUCCACACAGUAAACGAUGAAUACUCGCUGUUUGCGAUAUACAGUAAGCGGCCAAGCGAAAGCAUUAAGUAUUCCACCUGGGGAGUACGCCGGCAACGGUGAAACUCAAAGGAAUUGACGGGG
This 393-nucleotide ribosomal RNA is filed under the name uncultured bacterium. RNAcentral describes it as "partial 16S ribosomal RNA". It matches the Rfam family "Bacterial small subunit ribosomal RNA", at positions 523 to 918 of the family's 1533-position model. The record is from RNAcentral.